CCUACGGGAGGCAGCAGUGAGGAAUAUUGGUCAAUGGACGAAAGUCUGAACCAGCCAUGCCGCGUGCAGGAAGACGGCUCUAUGAGUUGUAAACUGCUUUUGUACAAGGGUAAACCUGAAUACGUGUAUUCUGCUGAAAGUACUGUACGAAUAAGGAUCGGCUAACUCCGUGCCAGCAGCCGCGGUAAUACGGAGGAUCCAAGCGUUAUCCGGAUUUAUUGGGUUUAAAGGGUGCGUAGGCGGAUUGUUAAGUUAGAGGUGAAAUGUCCGGGCUAAACUCGGGAACUGCCUUUAAUACGGUUGAUCUGGAGAGUAGAUGCGGUAGGCGGAAUGUAUGGGGUAGCGGUGAAAGGCUUAGAGAUCAUACAGAACACCGAUUGCGAAGGCAGCUUACCAAUCUAUAUCUGACGUUGAGGCACGAAAGCGUGGGGAGCAAACAGGAUUAGAUACCCCUGUAGU
This 459-nucleotide ribosomal RNA is filed under the name uncultured bacterium. RNAcentral's name for it is "partial 16S ribosomal RNA". It matches the Rfam family "Bacterial small subunit ribosomal RNA", at positions 338 to 794 of the family's 1533-position model. The record is from RNAcentral.